UACGUAGGGGCUAGCGUUGUCCGGAUUUAUUGGGCGUAAAGAGCGUGUAGGCGGCCAGGUAGGUCUGCUGUGAAAACGUCGAGGCUCAACCUCGAGACGUCGGCGGAAACCAUCUGGCUAGAGUCCGGAAGAGGAGAGUGGAAUUCCUGGUGAUAGCGGUGAAAUGCGCAGAUAUCAGGAAGAACACCCGUGGCGAAGGCGGCUCUCUGGGACGGUACUGACGCUGAAGACGCGAAA
This 237-nucleotide ribosomal RNA is filed under the name uncultured bacterium. RNAcentral's name for it is "partial 16S ribosomal RNA". It matches the Rfam family "Bacterial small subunit ribosomal RNA", at positions 524 to 758 of the family's 1533-position model. The record is from RNAcentral.